CAACCUCUGCGGUGUUCGAGACUGCCUAAUCUAUUUCCCGCCUUAAUGAUUCUUUUUAGGGAGCUCGACUGCUUAAUGUGGCUGUCAUGCCGUCUAGAACGGAAGACAAAAGCAUUGAGGGGAGCACCCACCUCGUAUAUGGAGGUCGAGAAAUCAACUCGGCAAGACGGCACAAGUGGGGGUUGC
Molecule: non-coding RNA, 186 nt
Filed under: Opitutales bacterium
Lineage: Bacteria; Pseudomonadati; Verrucomicrobiota; Opitutia; Opitutales
Description: 6S RNA
Rfam family: 6S / SsrS RNA
About the family: E. coli 6S RNA was the first non coding RNA to be sequenced, but its function was unknown until recently.
Source: RNAcentral